GCCAGACUCCUACGGGAGGCAGCAGUGGGGAAUAUUGCACAAUGGGGGAAACCCUGAUGCAGCGACGCCGCGUGAGCGAAGAAGUAUUUCGGUAUGUAAAGCUCUAUCAGCAGGGAAGAAAAAAAUGACGGUACCUGAGUAAGAAGCACCGGCUAAAUACGUGCCAGCAGCCGCGGUAAUACGUAUGGUGCAAGCGUUAUCCGGAUUUACUGGGUGUAAAGGGAGCGUAGGCGGCGCGUUAAGUCUGAUGUGAAAACCCGAGGCUCAACCACGGGAGUGCAUUGGAAACUGGCGGGCUGGAGUGCCGGAGAGGUAAGCGGAAUUCCUAGUGUAGCGGUGAAAUGCGUAGAUAUUAGGAGGAACACCAGUGGCGAAGGCGGCCUGCUGGACGAUGACUGACGCUGAGGCUCGAAAGCGUGGGGAGCAAACAGGAUUAGAUACCCCAGUAAA
RNAcentral lists this ribosomal RNA (450 nucleotides) under uncultured bacterium. RNAcentral describes it as "bacterial SSU rRNA". It matches the Rfam family "Bacterial small subunit ribosomal RNA", at positions 330 to 794 of the family's 1533-position model. The record is from RNAcentral.